Molecule: ribosomal RNA, 331 nt
Filed under: Entamoeba coli
Lineage: Eukaryota; Evosea; Mastigamoebida; Endamoebidae
Description: SSU rRNA
Rfam family: Eukaryotic small subunit ribosomal RNA
Source: RNAcentral
GUCCUAGUAAGAUGAAGCUGCGAACGGCUCAUUACACAGUUAUAAUCUUUUUGAUGAAAUACGUACAAGGAUAUCUUUGAGAAUGUCAAAGCUAAUACUUGACGGGUAACGCCUUCAGUCGAGUGUAUUCCUCCGGGAGUAUAAUCUACUGAGGAGGGGAGGACCCCCAAGGUCCUUUCAAUAUAUACCACUUCUUUGUGAAUAAGGGUGGAUUAUAUGCCAAGAGAAUUGUAGAAAUCGAGAGAUUUCACAAGUCAUCAUUAAGAAUAUCUGACCUAUCAACUGGUUGUUGGUAAGGUAGUGGCUUACCAAGGUGAUAACGGGUAACGAG